CCUACGGGAGGCAGCAGUGAGGAAUUUUCCGCAAUGGGCGAAAGCCUGACGGAGCAAUACCGCGUGAGGGAUGAAGGAUUUUGGUCUGUAAACCUCUUUUCUCAAGAAAGAAGUCCUGACGGUACUUGAGGAAUAAGCAUCGGCUAACUCCGUGCCAGCAGCCGCGGUAAUACGGGGGAUGCAAGCGUUAUCCGGAAUGAUUGGGCGUAAAGCGCCUGUAGGUUGUUUAUUAAGUCCGUUGUUAAAGCCUAGGGCUCAACCCUAGAAAAGCAAUGGAAACUAGUAGACUAGAGUAUGGCAGGGGUAGAGGGAAUUUCUAGUGUAGCGGUGAAAUGCGUAGAUAUUAGAAAGAACACCGGUGGCGAAAGCGCUCUACUGGACCAUUACUGACACUCAGAGGCGAAAGCUAGGGUAGCAAAAGGGAUUAGAUACCCCUGUAGUCCUAGCCGUAAACGAUGGAUACUAGAUGUUGUGCAUUAUGUACAGUAUCGUAGCUAACGCGUUAAGUAUCCCGCCUGGGGAGUACGCUCGCAAGGGUGAAACUCAAAGGAAUUGACGG
Molecule: ribosomal RNA, 559 nt
Filed under: uncultured bacterium
Lineage: Bacteria
Description: bacterial SSU rRNA
Rfam family: Bacterial small subunit ribosomal RNA
Source: RNAcentral